RNAcentral lists this ribosomal RNA (589 nucleotides) under uncultured Actinomycetes bacterium. RNAcentral's name for it is "bacterial SSU rRNA". It matches the Rfam family "Bacterial small subunit ribosomal RNA", at positions 242 to 842 of the family's 1533-position model. Lineage: Bacteria; Bacillati; Actinomycetota; Actinomycetes. The record is from RNAcentral.
UCGCUGUUGGUGAGGUAACGGCUCACCAAGGCGACGACGGGUAGCCGGCCUGAGAGGGCGACCGGCCACACUGGGACUGAGACACGGCCCAGACUCCUACGGGAGGCAGCAGUGGGGAAUAUUGCACAAUGGGCGAAAGCCUGAUGCAGCGACGCCGCGUGAGGGAUGACGGCCUUCGGGUUGUAAACCUCUUUCAGCAGGGAAGAAGCGAAAGUGACGGUACCUGCAGAAGAAGCGCCGGCUAACUACGUGCCAGCAGCCGCGGUAAUACGUAGGGCGCAAGCGUUGUCCGGAAUUAUUGGGCGUAAAGAGCUCGUAGGCGGCUUGUCACGUCGGUUGUGAAAGCCCGGGGCUUAACCCCGGGUCUGCAGUCGAUACGGGCAGGCUAGAGUUCGGUAGGGGAGAUCGGAAUUCCUGGUGUAGCGGUGAAAUGCGCAGAUAUCAGGAGGAACACCGGUGGCGAAGGCGGAUCUCUGGGCCGAUACUGACGCUGAAGAACGAAAACGUGGGGAGCGAACAGGAUUAGAUACCCUGGUAGUCCACGCCGUAAACGGUGGGCACUAGGUGUGGGCAACAUUCCACGUUGUCC